CCUGCGGAGGGAUCAUUACCGAGUUUACAACUCCCAAACCCCUGUGAACAUACCACUUGUUGCCUCGGCGGAUCAGCCCGCUCCCGGUAAAACGGGACGGCCCGCCAGAGGACCCCUAAACUCUGUUUCUAUAUGUAACUUCUGAGUAAAACCAUAAAUAAAUCAAAACUUUCAACAACGGAUCUCUUGGUUCUGGCAUCGAUGAAGAACGCAGCAAAAUGCGAUAAGUAAUGUGAAUUGCAGAAUUCAGUGAAUCAUCGAAUCUUUGAACGCACAUUGCGCCCGCCAGUAUUCUGGCGGGCAUGCCUGUUCGAGCGUCAUUUCAACCCUCAAGCACAGCUUGGUGUUGGGACUCGCGUUAAUUCGCGUUCCUCAAAUUGAUUGGCGGUCACGUCGAGCUUCCAUAGCGUAGUAGUAAAACCCUCGUUACUGGUAAUCGUCGCGGCCACGCCGUUAAACCCCAACUUCUGAAUGU
RNAcentral lists this small RNA (475 nucleotides) under Fusarium oxysporum. RNAcentral describes it as "eukaryotic LSU rRNA". The stretch from base 167 to 320 matches the Rfam family "5.8S ribosomal RNA". The record is from RNAcentral. Lineage: Eukaryota; Fungi; Ascomycota; Sordariomycetes; Hypocreales; Nectriaceae.